Long non-coding RNA from Quercus robur (English oak), 683 nucleotides. RefSeq lists it as uncharacterized. NCBI's taxonomy places the organism in Eukaryota, Viridiplantae, Streptophyta, Magnoliopsida, Fagales, Fagaceae. The transcript is spliced from 2 exons. The record is from RefSeq and is a predicted model, not a curated record.
GGCAUCCCACUCAAUCUUGCCUCUUUUGGUGGUGGAGACUCCAUCACUAAAUCAUAUUGUUAAAUGUUUACAGUCAAUUCCUAUUAAUCCUAGAAUGGUUUAUAAAUUGCUUAAACUUCUUCUUCCUCCGCCCACAAAUUCCUAAAUCUAGAUAAGUUUUUACUCUCUAGUUGGAAAAGUAAAAGCUGAAGAAUCAUGAAGUUUAUAGCACUUGCUCUAGUCUUGUUGAUGGUGAGCACUUGUAUGGCCACAACUCAGAGAACGUUGAUGGCUGAAGUGCAGCAGCAGCAGCCAGAGAAGGGCCAGAAUGGUGAAGUUGAAGGCCAAGUAAACGAUAUGAAUCACCAUACCAUUCCUAGACAGGACUUUGAAGGCUAUAAUGGCGGUGGGGCAGUUAAACCGUAGUGUAACUAGUUCAAUGAUGAUGCUUGCUAUGUAUAUAAUAUAUAGGUUAAAUAAUCCUUGAGCUAGACCAAGCAAAAAAGGAAAGAAAAACGUAAAGUCAUGCUAUAGAUGCAUGGCAUAAGUUGUAUGCGGUUUGGGUUUUUAACCUAUAAUUGUUACCUAUUGCAUGGUGUAGCGUACGUAUGUUUCUGUGGUAUAAUAAUCAUAGACUAUGUUUGGAGUGUGUAUUUGUUGUGUGAUUGUAAUUAAUCAUAUGUAAUUGAAAGUAAUUUGUAUUA